CUGCCUCUUUGCCAGCUUCUUGUUUUUCUUUAAUGUUGUUAUUCACUGUUCCAUUUUCAGCCAGUAAUAGGCUGAAAAAGCAACCAGUUAAAUUCCAUUUUCUUUACUUUGCUGCUUGUGAAAUUGUUACUUAAAAUCAAGAUGUUGCUUACUGUGAAGAGCUGAUAAAGGCUUAGUAUGCUAUGGUCUUGUUUGAAUAUCAAAAUACAGAUAUUUGACACCUCUAUCAAAAUGAGAUCACAUGAGAAUAAUAUUUCUCUGUUCAAAUCCUGUUUUAUUUUUGCAUGAUAAAUGCUUGAAAUAGGCCCUUUUGCAAAGUAGAUCUCCCCAUUAAUUUUCUAGUGGUCAUUAUAAAAUAACAAUUAUGUUUAUAUUGAGAAUAUUCCACUUAAGAGUUCUUGCUGAUAACUGUCUAAAUGAUGAUGAUGGUGGAUAUGUUUCUUUGCAAAGCACUGAUGGAAUCUUAGUAUCAGAGGCCAUUUUACCUUUCUUAAUAUCAACUGCCUGAUCUUAACAGUUGUUAUUUUAGAUACUUUCAAUAUUAAACUGUUGACUGAGACUCUAAAAGCUUAGAAGAGAGGGAUAAAUUAUUUGUUUUUAGUUUGCUUUAUAAACUAGUGAGAUUUUCCAGGGACCCAGGCAAAAAGCAGCUUUCAGGGAAAGGAAGGCGAUAUUAGACCAAGAAUUAGAAUAGGUCUUUUGGAGUUUUGGUAUUCUCACUGGUAAAAGGAAGGGGUUGGAUUAAAUCAUUUCUUAAAACAACCUUCUUUCUGCCUCUAUUAUUGUUUUACUAUGCAUCUCCUGUGAUCAGUUUCCACAUCACCUGCAUAAUUCUCAGUGAGGGGAGGGAAUGCAGGGCAGAGUGGCCAUAUGGAGCUUGAAAAGCUCUCUUCCCUGAAAAGUUUCUGAUCUGACCCCAGAGGAGUUACUCCAUCCCUACCCAUGAAUGAGAUGCUUAAGUUAGAUGAUUUCUGAGGUCUUUUCUAAUUUUUAAGAUUUUUAUCAUUUUCUGUUUCAUAAGGCUUUCAGCUAGCAGCCUUAAUAAAAACCAGUGCCUGGAACAUGACCUGGCCAGUAGUGACACUCAGUAAAUGUUGAGGGAAUAAAUGAGUGAAACACACCAGAAACAAAUGCAUUUGAGUGCUUUUACACACGAUGCUAGUACUUAAUGUAGAUUACCUCAUUUAAUCCUAUCACAAUGCCAAAGUAGAUGUUUCAACCCCCAUUAAGUAAAUGAGGAGACUGAAUAGCUUCCUUAAAGUCACUUACCUAGUAAAUGAGAAAGCCGAGAUUCAAACCCAGAUUAAUUUCACUCCAAAGAUUGAUCUUUGUGAUAUAUUGCUAUUUUUAAAAUUAAUUUGUGUCCUAGCAAUGUUGUCUUUCCAGGAUACCUUUUGUUAGAAAAAUUAAAAUUUUCUUCCUGUCAUUCUCUUUUGAAAAGCUUAGAGACCAUGCAUUUCAGGUUUCGAGUGACAAACCAACAUCUAGUUGUUCUCCUAAAAGUGAAAUUGUCAACUUAUGAGUUAUAUUUUGUCUCUAAAGUGUUAAUGGAAAACAAUAUUUAUGUGCCUUUCCAAGAAGUAUGCAAAUAGCUUACUCAUCUCUUUAGGCCAAACUUAGAAUCCAAUAUUGACUUUCUAGUGUUAGUAUAGUAAAGAGAUUGGCCAUUAGUUAACCAGUUCAGCUACCGUUGUUAGACAUUUGUGUUGUUUAUAGUUUGGAGCUAUCAUGAAUAGCACUGCUAUGGUGUUUUUCAUCAAUGUCUUUAUGCAUUUCUAUGGGGUAUAUGUCUGGAAAUGGGAUUAUUAAGUCAUAACAUAUGCAUACUUAAUACUGUACUGUCAAAUAGUUCUUCAAAGUUGUAUCAAUUUACACUCAGCAGUGUGUGAGAAUUCUGGGUGCUCUAUUUCUUUGCUGGUAGUUAUCAUUCAUACUGAAUCUUUUUUUAUUUUAGCCAUGUGGAUAGGUGCAUAGUGGUAUUGCAAUUUUGACUUUAAUUUACAUUUUUCUACUGAUGUGAAGGUGAAUUUCUUUUUGAUAUAUAUUUGACCAUUGGAUGUAAUUUUAUGAAAUGCCUACCUUUUGCUUAUUGAUCUAUAAGAGUUCUUUAUCUAUCCUAGUUAUGAAUCUUUUUUUGGUCAUGUAUAUUUGCAAAUAUCUUCUCCUAUGCCAUCUUGCUUUUUUUACUGUCUUAAUGAUUUUUUAUUAAAAUGAGCUUUAAAUUUUAAUGUAAUCUAGCUUAUGAAAUCUUUUCCUACCCCUAGAUAUUUUGUUUUCUUUUCUGAAAAUUAUUAUUUUAUCUUUUACAGAUAGAUCUAUGAUCCAUCUGGAAUUUAUUUUUGUGGACGGUGUGAGAUAGAUACCAAGAUUCAUUCUUUUCAGUAUGGAUAUCUAGUUAUCCCAGCACCAGUGUCUUUUAUUGUAUAGAAUUAUGUUGGAGGUAAUUAGUAUCAUAUCAAUACCAUUUGGGGUAGUAUAUUAAUUUUCUAGGGCUAUCAAAACAAGUUACUGCAAACUUGAUGUCGUAAAAUAACAGAAAUGUGUUCUCUCAUAGCUAUGGAAGCUAGAAGGACAAAAUCAAGGUAUUGGCAGAAUAAGGUUUGUCCUUCUGAGGAAGAAUCUAUUCCGUGCCCCUCUCCUAACUUCAAGUGAUGGCCAGCAAUCCUUGAUAUUCCUGGGCAUGUAGGUGCCUCACCAUGGCCUUUGCCUCUGUCAACACAGUGUUCUCCCUGUGUUUCUGUGUCCAAAUUUCCCGAUUCUUAGAUUAGGGCCCACCAUAAUCCAGUAUGACCUCAUCUUAACUUGAUUGUACCUGCAAAGACCCUGUUCCUAAAUAAGGUCAUAUUCAUAGGUUUCAGGAAGACACAAAAUUUGAGGGAAUACUAUUCAACCUAUUACAGGUAGCAAUAAAUAAUAUUACUGUGUAUCACUCACUUUUUUUCACUAUUAAAGGGCGGUGUUGGUUCUGAAUAUACACUAUGAGGAGGCAGAGUAUCUUCUGAUUCUGAAGCCGCCCAGUUAAACUUCAUAAUGGCAGAAGCCAGUCUUCUCCUUGCCUCUCUGUUAACUCAGUUUAGAGCCUAGUGCUCAGGAAGCACUUGAUACUUACCUCUUCCUUCAACUGCAUCUUCAUACCAGAUGAUUUCCAGCUUUCUGAGCAGGUAUGUGUUUGUUAGGAACAUACCUCAAGGAGAGAUCCAAGGCACUGAUGGAUAGAGGGCAAAGGCAGAAGGCUUAGUAUGUGUUUCCAAGAUUAGAUGCCCUUUUACUGCUGUAUGUCUUCAUAUGAUUAGCUAAAAGCCCAGUUAACUUUAGUUCAUCAAGAGGGAGAAUGUGUCUCUUUAACAUUCUUAUUCUAAUGUUAGGGCAUUCUGGUAGCAUCAAAACUCUGAAACUAGGAAAUCUGACACUCUACAGUUAGGAAUUAGGAUGGCAGACAUUUCUGAAUCCUUGGAUACAAUGUUCAGAUGUAUUAGUGUCUAAGACUAUUUUCUAAUUUAACUUCUAUAUCAUUGUAACCAGAGCAUUAUAUACAUUUAUUGGUCAUUUUGUUAUGUAGGCUGCACAUGACUUAUGCUGCAUUUUGUGAUGCUGUGGUGUUGGGUAGGGUCUGGAGGCACAUUUCAAUUGUGUUAAAUUGUUCAUAUCUGAUGUUAACAUCUGAUACUAGCCAUAUUCCUGUUUUAUCACUUACAAAUCUGUCAUUCUUUUACAUAUGAGGCAUUGGUGGGAUAAACCUUUUGAAAUAAAAACUGAUAUUUCACUUUUAAGAAAUUCAGUUGACCCAGGGAAGAACCCCCUGGGCAUAUCAGUGUAAAAUUAAAGCAGUAAAUCAAAAUAUAAUAUACAGCAUAAGGGCUACCAUCUUUCCCUGUCUGCUUCAUUUUUAAAAUAAUUUUAUAUUAUUGUUGUUGUUACAUUUUAUUACAAAUCCAGUGUUUGUAGCUUGUGUAACCCAUCAAUUUAUUUUCUCUCUCCACUUGCCAUUUCACUUUGUAAAAUCAUACGGUUGGAUUCUAUUGUUGAAUGAGCUUAAAUCAAAAAAAAAUUAAUUCGGAGUCAUAGAAAAACAUUUCAUUUUAUUUCUAAAAGGGAAAGGUAACUUGAAGCACAUGCUAUGCUUCAUUAAUAUUAAAAAUAAACCCGGAUUACUUAUAAAAAUGAUAUAACAGCAGGAUUUUUCUAAAAAUAUAAUUAUUUUUUAAAAAUAAAAUGUUUUAUGCUAUAAUUUGAGAUAUAUUUAAACAACUAUUUUGAGAACUCAUCUUAAUGAUUUAGUACAGAGACUAGUAAAAUUGCUCACUGUAAUUCAGUGGUGUAACUGCUCAGGAAUUAGCCAUAGCCAUCUUCAAGUGUCAGAUUUCAUUUGCUUCCAGGACUUUAAGUGCCAUUUUUUCCAUAGCUGCCUUUGUGUUUUAGUAAACUCUCAAUGCGUAUUGCCAUUGUUCUUCACUGAGUCUUAAAACAUAGGAUUUCAAGCAUGUGAUUUUUUUCUUACAUUCUUCAUUUGUUUCUAUUUGACAGUCAUAAGUAGGUUCUAAAUUUCUUUUUUCUCCAGUAAUUUGGGAUGGUUUCUAUUAUAAUGUUAUUGAGAAGGUAAGGCCAAUGAAGACACUGUAUAGUAAUGAAGUCAGGUGUGUCCAGUGGGAUUGUCUCCAUUGCUUGUCUGUUGCUUGCAUUGUCAGUCAGCAUAGCAAAUAUUUUUCCACUUCAUGUUCUCCUGAUGACUCUAAAGCUUUACCACUUAUGCAUUCCACAAGGUGUCUGUUCUGUGUUUUAUUGCUUUUGUUAACAAACACAAGUGAGUUCACAUGUUGUUACAAACCUUGAGUCUUUUUCCUUGCAGAUUCUUUUUUUUCAUUCUCAAAUUCAACUCCACAAGAAGCUUAUUCAGAGUAAGUCAUUGCUAGGAAAAUGGCCUCAAUAGUUUAAAAGUUUUCAAAUUUGAUUCAUUUUAGGUAUUGGCAGUGGUAUUCAGUGGUACUCACUGUCAAUACCUAAAAGAAAGGAAGAAAGCAAUGAUCUGUGAAGAACUUGAGCUAAACUUCUGAAGUUAAGUGUUUUUGUAUGUGGUCAUCUGUGGUACAUGAUUGCUUGAGACGAGAUGUGACAAUGGUGGUGGAGGUAAAGAAGUAUCAGCGGGAAGAAAUACACCCGUGCUGAUUCCUGCAGAGGGGUCAUCUGUUGAAAUUUUUUCAUUUUAAUUUUCCUUAUAUAGCCAUGAAGGUUUUCUAAAGAAUACCUAAAAACAUUUUUUAUAUCAGAAUGUUUGUUCCUUCUAGUGGCAUUCAUAAAAGUAUAUUUCAUAUGAUGCUUUUUAAAUCUCAUGUUUCCUCACCCCUCCCCUUGCACAACUUGCAGUAUGGAAAUACUUUCACAUACCAUUAACAGCUUUGGUGUUUUUAAGUGGAGAAAAAUUGUUUGUUAGUACCUUAAUACUGCAAGUAUACAUUUAGCAAUGACAUCCCAUACCAAUAGACGAGAUAGUAGAUGAUAUUAAUGAAUAACUAUUAGUUGUCUUAAGUGUGAUAAGGUAUUAUGGUUCUGUAAGAGAAUGUUCUGAUAUCUGUGAGUUGCAUGCCAAAGUAUUUAUAAAUGAAAUAUGAUAUCUAUAUCUCACUUUCAUAUCGUUCAGCUAAAACAAGAAAAAAACAAAUGUGUGUGUAUAUGU
Molecule: long non-coding RNA, 5671 nt
Organism: Cebus imitator (Panamanian white-faced capuchin)
Lineage: Eukaryota; Metazoa; Chordata; Mammalia; Primates; Cebidae
Exons: 2
Source: RefSeq, a predicted model, not a curated record